Molecule: ribosomal RNA, 253 nt
Filed under: uncultured bacterium
Lineage: Bacteria
Description: partial 16S ribosomal RNA
Rfam family: Bacterial small subunit ribosomal RNA
Source: RNAcentral
UACAGAGGGUGCAAGCGUUAAUCGGAAUUACUGGGCGUAAAGCGUGCGUAGUCGGUUAUCUAAGUCGGGUGUGAAAUCCCCGGGCUCAACCCGGGAAUUGCAUUCGAUACUGGAUAGCUAGAGUUCGGCAGAGGGAAGCGGAAUUUCGGGUGUAGCGGUGAAAUGCGUAGAUAUCCGAAGGAACAUCAGUGGCGAAAGCGGCUUCCUGGACCAGAACUGACGAUCAGGCACGAAAGCGUGGGGAGCAAACAGG